CGCCUUGUCGGCUGCCAUGGGCAUGGGGCGGCUCCGGGUGCGCAUGGCGAGGACGGAGUCCACCGGCGUCGCCGUCGGCUUCCGCGCGCCGCAGUUCGAGCUCCCGGAGCCGCUGACCGGGAAUCUCUAGACGUUGGAUGAUUUCGAGGGCAACCCGGCGCUGCUGGUCAGGCACAACAGCUCGCCGCCGGAGUUCUUCUCCAGCCCCGUCGUGGAUAAUGCAAGACGCUGCUGAAGCUGACGAUCCCGCGAAUCAAGC
This is a long non-coding RNA of Panicum virgatum (switchgrass), 259 nucleotides long. RefSeq lists it as uncharacterized. NCBI's taxonomy places the organism in Eukaryota, Viridiplantae, Streptophyta, Magnoliopsida, Poales, Poaceae. The transcript is spliced from 3 exons. The record is from RefSeq and is a predicted model, not a curated record.